Molecule: long non-coding RNA, 227 nt
Filed under: Mytilus galloprovincialis (Mediterranean mussel)
Lineage: Eukaryota; Metazoa; Mollusca; Bivalvia; Mytilida; Mytilidae
Source: RNAcentral
ACAUAUUUAUUUUUCGUUCAUUUUUUUUACAUAAAUAAGGCCGUUAGUUUUCUCGUUUGAAUUGUUUUACAUUGUCUUAUCGGUGCCUUUUAUAGCUGACUAUGCGGUAUGGGCUUUGCUCAUUGUUGAAGGCCGUACGGUGACCUAUAGUUGUUAAUGUUUGUGUCAUUUUGGUUUUUUGUGGAUAGUUGUCUCAUUGGCAAUCAUACCACAUCUUCUUUUUUAUA